UACGUAGGUGGCAAGCGUUGUCCGGAUUUACUGGGCGUAAAGAGCGCGCAGGCGGUCAGAUAAGUCGAAUGUGAAAGCCCCCGGCUCAACUGGGGAGGGUCAUUCGAUACUGUUCGACUCGAAGGCAGGAGAGGGAAGUGGAAUUCCCGGUGUAGUGGUGAAAUGCGUAGAUAUCGGGAGGAACACCAGUGGCGAAGGCGACUUCCUGGCCUGUUCUUGACGCUGAGGUGCGAAAGCGUGGGGAGCAAACAGG
RNAcentral lists this ribosomal RNA (253 nucleotides) under uncultured bacterium. Its description in RNAcentral is "partial 16S ribosomal RNA". It matches the Rfam family "Bacterial small subunit ribosomal RNA", at positions 524 to 776 of the family's 1533-position model. The record is from RNAcentral.